ACAAGAGCCAAAUCUGCUUUGUGAUGGCAGCUAAAUUCUUUGUGGUGGUGAUUUGUGGCUUCACAGAACUGAAGUUUCUCGCAAAAAUAAGCCAGGAUCGCCUAUACUUAAUUCAGGAGUGAGGGGCAGUGAUCUCAGCUGAAUCAUCAAGAAACUUUUACAGCUACUGGAGAAAAUUCCACUCGUCAACUGUGGUGGAUGCUGGAGUUUUACCAUUAGGCUGAAAGUCAGCCAAACUAUGAAUCUGUCACACCGGACAUUUCUUGACCACUGAGAACAGUGUGGAAAUGCCCCAGAGCCAAGAUAGAGCAAUUUAAGGAUGUCCAACAGAACAGCGUGGUGUGUGACAGACAGUAAAGCAAUUUGCAACUGAUGGCCCUUCAGAGAGUGAGGAGCAAGC
Lagopus muta (rock ptarmigan) is the source of this 400-nucleotide long non-coding RNA. RefSeq lists it as uncharacterized. The transcript has 3 exons. NCBI's taxonomy places the organism in Eukaryota, Metazoa, Chordata, Aves, Galliformes, Phasianidae. The record is from RefSeq and is a predicted model, not a curated record.